GAAAGGCGCUCGGUUAUCGCUCUCGGUCAUCCCACGCCGCCUCCCCUCUGCUGUUGCGUUGCGCGAAGACCGUCGGAAGAUAGAGGAAAUAGCAGUUUUACGGGGGAGCGGGCGGGGGGGAAGGAAGGAAAACAUAUAUUUCAGUGGAUUUUUUUGUUUUGUUUUGCUUUUUAGAACGAGCCCAAACGCCGCCCGCUCGGCAAGCUAAACGCGGAUCUCGCAAAAUCAUCUCUCGAUGAAGAUUUUUUCACUAAAACCAUGGGAGAAGUUGGGAUUUUCUUUGGUUCGACCCCAAUAGGCAUUCACUGCUGUUUGUCAGACCUUCACGCUGGGCAGGUGUAACCAUCACAGAACAAGCACACAGUGUGGCAGCACAUGGGAGCACUCUGGAGCAGCGCUCCUGAGCUGGGCAGGUCCUGCCUCCUUCUCCAUCCUCACCACGACCACCUCCAAUGCACAGAGGAGCCCUGGGAUGGGGUGACACAGCCUGUCCUUGCCCUUCUGUUGGUGGUCAGAGGGUCGUGCAAAUUUAGGAUCGAACAAAGCUGUCCAUUAGGAGUCCUCCUGCCUCCACAAGCCGUGCUCUGUGUAGGAUAGAUGCAGUUCUCCUCCAGGCUCAGAUGGAUGCAGCCCAGGAAUCGCCCAAGAGACAAUAAAACAAACGUGAGACAAAGCAUUCAUUUACACCGCUUUAUUUCUGUAGUGUUCAGAGAAACUGGG
This 720-nucleotide long non-coding RNA is filed under the name Gallus gallus (chicken). RNAcentral's name for it is "long non-coding RNA NONGGAT008239". Lineage: Eukaryota; Metazoa; Chordata; Aves; Galliformes; Phasianidae. The record is from RNAcentral.